RNAcentral lists this ribosomal RNA (467 nucleotides) under uncultured bacterium. Its description in RNAcentral is "partial 16S ribosomal RNA". It matches the Rfam family "Bacterial small subunit ribosomal RNA", at positions 28 to 507 of the family's 1533-position model. The record is from RNAcentral.
GACGAACGCUGGCGGCGUGCUUAACACAUGCAAGUCGAACGGAAAGGCCCUGCUUUUGUGGGGUGCUCGAUUGGCGAACGGGUGAGUAACACGUGAGUAACCUGCCCUUGACUUUGGGAUAACUUCAGGAAACUGGGGCUAAUACCGGAUAGGAGCUCCUGCUGCAUGUGGGGGGUUGGAAAGUUGCGGCGGUUGGGAAUGGACUCGCGGCUUAUCAGCUUGUUGGUGGGGUAGUGGCUUACCAAGGCUUGGACGGGUAGCCGCCCUGGGAGGGGGACCGGCAACAUGGGCAUUAGGAUAGGGCCAGGACGCAAACGGGAGGCAGGGGUGGGAAAUAUUGCAAAAUGGGCGGAGGCAGGAUGGAGCAACGCCGGGUGGGGAAGGACGGCUUUCGGGUGGUAACCCGUUUUCGCUUAUGAAGAAGCGUGGUGAAGGUAAAUGGGUAAAAAGACACGGCUAAAUUAGUG